Molecule: long non-coding RNA, 234 nt
Filed under: Mytilus galloprovincialis (Mediterranean mussel)
Lineage: Eukaryota; Metazoa; Mollusca; Bivalvia; Mytilida; Mytilidae
Source: RNAcentral
GUCCUCUACUAACCAUAAUUAUGUCUAUUAACUUUGCGAAAGGUGUUAAUCUCGGACAUUUACAUGAACAAAAAUAGAAAAUGAAACUUCCAGUCAAAUGAAAAAUUCGAAAUGUAAAAGACCUUAAGCUUUCCGAAUAAAGGAAAACGAUAACAGUCCACAAAUAUAUAUUUAAAACAUGAAAAAGACAACACAAAUUUCAUCCGAAAUCGGAUGUAAACUGAUAUACCCAAC